Lolium perenne is the source of this 2595-nucleotide non-coding RNA. The record is from RefSeq and is a predicted model, not a curated record. NCBI's taxonomy places the organism in Eukaryota, Viridiplantae, Streptophyta, Magnoliopsida, Poales, Poaceae.
AUUUAAGUUUGUCACUUAUCAAGUUCUCGCAUUAUCACUGUGCCUCAGAGGUUGUUUUUGUAGCAAUGGAGUAGAGAACAUCAGUUUUAUAUUUUCCCCACCAGAUGUGUUCUUGCUGAGUCGUUUCUUGGGAAGUUUUUAUUAUAUUUUUUUACCCUUUUCAUAUUUGUUUUUUGCACAUUCUGGAUAUAUACAUACUUCAGAAAUAUGUAAUAUAAAGGAAUCCUCUUAAGUUUCAUUUUAUUGUUCAAGUUUUGGUUUAGCCAUAGAGAGGUAUUCACAGUUGGGUCAUUCAUGAAUUCAUUUUGCACCAAUGUGUUGAUGAGCUAGCUAACUUAUCUAUAAUAAUUGAUAAAUAUAGCUUCUUUUGCUGAGAUGUAAAACCUGUUGUUUUGGACUCAUCUUGUAAGACAUCUAGCCACACAUUCUUAUCUAAGAACUGCCCUUUCUGUUUUCAGGCCUAGGUGCUGGCUUGAGUUGCUGAUUUUGUUUUGAGGCUGAUGCGGAGACCGACAAAGUGUACACUCAAAUGACGCUGCAGCCGCUGAACCUGCUGGCUACUUCUGCGUGCAGCGCCAUGAGGUGACAACAGGAACGUCGGCUCAAGGCGUCUACAGCCACGGCCUGUGGGGCGGCCACCGACGAGGGCAUGGAUCCCACUCAAUUUCUUCAGCUUGAUGGGUGCUACUGUUUAAGGGUCUAUUCAGGCUUUGGAUAUGAUAAUAAGUUCCAGAACGUGGCUGCGUAUGUCAGGCUUGCGGUUGUUACAUAUAAAUUAUAGUUUUGUCUUCAAAUGUUGCUUUCUAAGGUUAUCAGCGCUCGAAGAAUUGGUAUAACAGAAUUCAGUGUCAAGCUUGCUGCUGUUAUAUUUAGGUUGGAUGAAGCAUCGAGCGUUUCUUCCUUGAGAUGAUUAACAGAUCGUCAUGUGCAUUACUGUCCACAGCUUUACUCUAAAUUGGUUACCCUUUGAGCACUAAAGUGCAUCCUUCAUAUUUUCUCCGAGCGGAUUUUUUUUUCGAUGAAAAGGGACCAGUAGCAGAGGGACAUUUCUAAUGCCCACUGCCAUUUGAUGAAACACAGGUAUAAAAUCUCUUUUCGCUAUUCCAAAGUUCAUCUUCAGGUACAUUAGAACUGCCUCAUGGUGCUAAUAUAUGUUUAGUUGAAUGAUAAGGUUAGCUACAGCCUGAGCGUACAAUUCAAUAGUUUAGCAAAUGACAAGGGGGUGUGUGUGUAUAUUUCUUGCAUUAUUUUGCUUUGAUUUUACUUCAUGGUUUGAUGAAGUUAUUAUCAUUUUAGUUCUGUUUAUUAUCAGCAAUUUUUCACGCCUUACUGAAUAUACCAAUUGACUUCACGGGUUAUUCUCUACUUGGUGGAUUGGUGGUUUGCAAUUACCAAUUGAUGAUUUUUAGAAGGUCUGUGAUCAAAUUCCCUUCCAUAGAGAUGUUGAGUGUACCAGAAAAUAUGGCAUGGUAGAACUGCAUGAAGUAAAUCAGAGAGAGCAAAAGAAAAAUGUAUAUGCACUUCUCUGCUCCCUGUGCCACUCGAAAUUUAGUGAAAGAAUUCUCCAAAAAGAGAAUUAGCUACAGAAUUAGGCGAACCAUGAGUAUCCAUGUGUGGGGACUUAUCAGUACUUUCGAUGCAGGUCUAGCAUUUGAAAAAUCAUCUAACACCCUUUUAGACCGGUCUGUGUAUUUUACUGUAAGUGUAUGCCUUUGCUUCUCGAAUUUGAAAAAUGUCAUUACACCCUUUUUAGAUCUGUCUGCAUUUUUUACUCCAAGUGUAUGCCUUUGCUUCUCGAAUUUGCAUAGUUAAGCUAAGUCUACCGUUCUACACAGAUAUGUUCCUUGAGAAAAUGUCAUUACACCCUUUUUGGAUCUGUCUGCAUUUUUUACUCCAAGUCUAUGUUUUUGCUUCUCAAAUUUGCACGGUUAAACUAAGUCUACCAUUCUACACAGAUAUGUUCAUUGAGAAAAUGUCAAUUUUGUAAUACAAGUACAAUUUUCAGAUAUAUCAGGAUGGUAGAACUGGAUGCAACCUUCUGUCCUAGGCUGAUCAGAACUCAAGAAACUAGCAGACCGCAAUGGUAUUGUUGCAGCGAAACAUAUAAGCAUUCCUAUUUGAUAGCUUUUUUGGUCCUUUCUCAGUUGAAAUAUGAAAUAUAUUUGCAAGAUGCUGAUGCAAAAUGAUAUUUACUUGGCUACAAUGUUGAAAUUGACAUGAACUACACUUCUCCACUUAGGCUGUAGCCAUAUAUGAGUCCUAUUAAAUUCUUGAAAGUUGUCCGACUAAGUCAGGUUCUCAUUCAUGUUUUAUGUUAGUCUUAUUUUUAUUUUGAAUGUGCAUGCAUGAUAUGCUUACGAACUUUUUCUUGGUACUGGACUCUUUAAACAUAAUAAAUUAUCAGUAGUGUACUAAUGACAAUUGACAAUAUGCUUUACCACCCAUUUGAAAUGCAAAUGCUCAUGUCUUAUUUUCUACAAUAGUAUCUGAUGUAGGCCUCUUAAUAUGGUAGUAGUAUCAUAUAAAUAUUUAUUUACACAAUUUAUGCUUCGUUUGUUCUUGGAUAACACAAUAAUAACAUGAUAUACCUCUGAU